Molecule: non-coding RNA, 260 nt
Organism: Linepithema humile (Argentine ant)
Lineage: Eukaryota; Metazoa; Arthropoda; Insecta; Hymenoptera; Formicidae
Source: RefSeq, a predicted model, not a curated record
UUUCCUGGAAUUAGGAGGAAUUAGUUCUCUUGAAAGUCGAAGAUAAAUAACGACAACGGAGAAUGUAAGCACGGUGUAUACUUUGUAGAGAAACAAUUCCUUUGGAACUUCCCCCUUGUUUAACAAUGACUCAACGGAAAGUAAGCGUGCAGAUUCAUCGUACUAAAAAUAUACGCGUGAAUAUCAUAUUGAUAUUGUAGCGGUGGUGGAAAUAUAGAGGCGUCUCACUAAGUGAGUAGUACGGUAUAGAUUUGUUACUA